CUUUUCGAGGUAGGAGUCGAGUACUGUAAGGUAUGGUGCUGGGUGCAGAUGCAGUGUGGCUCUGGAUAGCACCUUAUGGACAGUUGUGUCCCCAAGGAAGGAUGAGAAUAGCUACUGAAGUAAGUUGAAAAUUCCCUCUCAAAAAGAUUUAAAGCCAUUGGAUGUGCCACAAUGAUGACAGUUUAUUUGCUACUCUUGAGUGCUAGAAUGAUGAGGAUCUUAACCACCAUUAUCUUAACUGAGGCACCCAAAAUGGUGAUUUGGGGAACAUAGAGAGUACACCUAAGUUCACAUGAAGUUGUUUCUUCCCAGGUCCUAAACAGCAAGCCUAACUCAAGCCAUUGGCACACAGGCAUUAGACAGAAAGCUGGAAGUUGAAAUGGUGGAGUCCAACUUGCCUGGACCAGCUUAAUGGUUCUGCUCCUGGUAACGUUUUUAUCCAUGGAUGACUUGCUUGGGUAAGGACAUGAAGACAGUUCCUGUCAUACCUUUUAAAGGUAUGGAGAGUCGGCUUGACUACACUGUGUGGAGCAACUUUUAAAGAAGCAAAGGACUCAGAAUUCAUGAUUGAAGAAAUGCAGGCAGACCUGUUAUCCUAAACUAGGGUUUUUAACGACCACAACAAGCAAGCAUGCAGCUUACUGCUUGAAAGGGUCUUGCCUCACCCAAGCUGGAGUGCAGUGGCCUUUGAAGCUUACUACAGCCUCAAACU
Molecule: small RNA, 712 nt
Filed under: Pan troglodytes (chimpanzee)
Lineage: Eukaryota; Metazoa; Chordata; Mammalia; Primates; Hominidae
Description: retained intron
Rfam family: Small nucleolar RNA SNORD24 (bases 165-246)
Source: RNAcentral